AAUGACUUAAAUAUGUUAUGGUUCAGUCGGAUUUACUUUAUUUGGAUUAACAUAGCUUUGUGAAAUUAAUAAAGUAAUUAUGAUUUUCAUAUGAGAUUAUGAAAAUGAUUUUCUAUCCCUCGUGCUAGCAUGUUUUUUAAAGAAAAAGGUUUUCGUAUGGGAAACGGUUUUAAAAAGAUUUUUUUUGAUUUUUUUUAUGAUUCUUAGUGUUUUAAAAUAAAAUUUCAAGUAGAAAACGUUUUAAACUAAUAGAUGUGAAUUUAUGAAUAUUGGUGAUGAUUGUGAAUGGUGUAUGUAUGUGAAUGAUCAUACUGUUGUGGUUGUAUUUUGUACUUGUGCGACGCCGUGCAAAUAUAGAAAAAAUUCUGUUCGUGUGAAUAGUGGAUUUCCUGUAUUUGUGGCAGAUCUGACAUACUUUAGGAUCAAGGUUUUCAAAAAAAAAAAAAAGGGUACUUUCGCAUUGGCUUUUAAAUCCAAAGGGACCCCGGGGCAUGACAAAGAUAAAGUCACCUUACCUUUUUCAAUAAUUUGAAAUAAGUUCUCCAACUUUAACAUUUAUAUAAAAAAUUUAUUAAGUCCUACAACUCUAACAUUUUAGUUUUUU
RNAcentral lists this long non-coding RNA (604 nucleotides) under Ananas comosus (pineapple). RNAcentral's name for it is "long non-coding RNA (ACOM_LNC013247)". The record is from RNAcentral. Lineage: Eukaryota; Viridiplantae; Streptophyta; Magnoliopsida; Poales; Bromeliaceae.